CCUACGGGCGGCUGCAGUGGGGAAUAUUGGACAAUGGGGGGAACCCUGAUCCAGCCAUGCCGCGUGUGUGAAGAAGGCCCUCGGGUUGUAAAGCACUUUCAGUGAGGAAGAACGCCUGGUGGUUAAUACCCAUCAGGAAAGACAUCACUCACAGAAGAAGCACCGGCUAACUCCGUGCCAGCAGCCGCGGUAAUACGGAGGGUGCGAGCGUUAAUCGGAAUUACUGGGCGUAAAGCGCGCGUAGGUGGCUUGAUAAGCCGGUUGUGAAAGCCCCGGGCUCAACCUGGGAACGGCAUCCGGAACUGUCAGGCUAGAGUGCAGGAGAGGAAGGUAGAACUCCCGGUGUAGCGGUGAAAUGCGUAGAGAUCGGGAGGAAUACCAGUGGCGAAGGCGGCCUUCUGGACUGACACUGACACUGAGGUGCGAAAGCGUGGGUAGCAAACAGGAUUAGAUACCCUAGUAGUC
RNAcentral lists this ribosomal RNA (465 nucleotides) under Vreelandella stevensii. Its description in RNAcentral is "partial 16S ribosomal RNA". It matches the Rfam family "Bacterial small subunit ribosomal RNA", at positions 338 to 795 of the family's 1533-position model. Lineage: Bacteria; Pseudomonadati; Pseudomonadota; Gammaproteobacteria; Oceanospirillales; Halomonadaceae. The record is from RNAcentral.